AUUGCAACUGAUUGGCUUUCUGCUUAUCUCGAUGCUAAUUCAUCGGUUCCUGAUGAGACUAUGUAUG
This 67-nucleotide small nucleolar RNA is filed under the name Oryza sativa Indica Group (long-grained rice). RNAcentral's name for it is "box C/D snoRNA". The record is from RNAcentral. Lineage: Eukaryota; Viridiplantae; Streptophyta; Magnoliopsida; Poales; Poaceae.